GUGGGGAAUAUUGGACAAUGGGCGAAAGCCUGAUCCAGCAAUGCCGCGUGAGUGAUGAAGGCCCUAGGGUUGUAAAGCUCUUUUACCCGGGAUGAUAAUGACAGUACCGGGAGAAUAAGCUCCGGCUAACUUCGUGCCAGCAGCCGCGGUAAUACGAGGGGAGCUAGCGUUGUUCGGAAUUACUGGGCGUAAAGCGCGCGUAGGCGGUUUUUUAAGUCAGAGGUGAAAGCCCGGGGCUCAACCCCGGAAUAGCCUUUGAAACUGGAAAACUAGAAUCUUGGAGAGGUCAGUGGAAUUCCGAGUGUAGAGGUGAAAUUCGUAGAUAUUCGGAAGAACACCAGUGGCGAAGGCGACUGACUGGACAAGUAUUGACGCUGAGGUGCGAAAGCGUGGGGAGCAAACAGGAUUAGAAACCCGGGUAGUCC
This 425-nucleotide ribosomal RNA is filed under the name uncultured bacterium. Its description in RNAcentral is "partial 16S ribosomal RNA". It matches the Rfam family "Bacterial small subunit ribosomal RNA", at positions 354 to 796 of the family's 1533-position model. The record is from RNAcentral.